Molecule: ribosomal RNA, 2967 nt
Filed under: Plasmodium falciparum 365.1
Lineage: Eukaryota; Apicomplexa; Aconoidasida; Haemosporida; Plasmodiidae
Description: eukaryotic LSU rRNA
Rfam family: Eukaryotic large subunit ribosomal RNA
Source: RNAcentral
AGCUCUUACAUAGGAUAUUUCGGUAUGGACGAUCUUUGACAACUUGUCGUUUUUGUUUGGUGAACCCACACACUCGCGUCAGUUCUUGGUGACCCUGUAUCGAUCUUGUCACUAUGAAUAGAUACAUUGCCUUUUUGUGGCUAUAUAUAUAUAUAUAUAUAUAUAUAUAUAUAUAUAUAUAUAUAUGUAUGUAUGUAUGUCAACAUAAGAUGUAUCUAUUGAGAGGGACUUUUAGAAAAUAUACAGCCAGAGGAUAAAAAUAGGAGGGCAAAUCCGCUGAACUUAAGCAUAUAAUUAAGCGGAAGAAAAGAAAAUAACUAUGAUUCCUUUAGUAACGGCGAGUGAAGAAGGAAUAGCUCAAUAAGUAGAAUCCUUCGAAUCUUAAUGAUAUAUUUAUACAUAGAAUAAAGAAUUGAAGGAAUUGUCAAGUUGAAUUGUACUCUUGUAGGCCUCACAGGUGAAAUGAAUAUAUAGAAGUAAAGUAGGAAUACUUCCUCAUAGAGGGUGAAAGGCCCGUAUCAUAUAUCAUUUCGUGGGCUUUGGAGUAUUUAUAUUUUACUGAGUAGUGUUCUUUGAGAUUGGAGCACAAAUUGGUGUGAUACAUUUCACAUAAAGCUAAAUAUGUAUAGGAGACCGAUAGCAAACAAGUACCGUGAGGGAAAGAUGAAAUAGUACUCAGGAAUGAGCAAUUAAAUAGUACCUGAAAUCGUUAAGAUGGAACGGAUUAAGAGAGAAAACAAGUAAAGAGGGGAAUUUUUAAUUUUUUUUGUUUUAAUUCUCUUCUUUAUUAAAAGAAACAUCAGUGAUUAAUUUAAUUUCAAUAAAGCAAUCCCCUGAAAUUCAAAAUUUCUUUUAAUUUUGUUUUCACUUUCUCCCCGCACUAAUGUGGGGAAAACUGGCUUUAUUUCUUCAAUUAUUUUUUUUGCUGAGGAAUUUUAAAAUUAUUUGAAUUUUUCUUCUUAUAAUUUAAGUUGUUUCUAUAUAGUACUUUCUUAACCCACUCGUCUUGAAACACGGACCAAGGAGUCUAGCAAAUGUGCAAGUGUAUAUGAUUCUUUAAACAUUUCUCUUUUUAAUAUACGCAUAAUUAAUGUAAUAUGUUUCUUUAUUGUAGAUUUGUGGUGUUUAAUUUUUAUUAAAUCCCCACUUUGCAUACAAUACCGGUAAGCAAUUAUGCUUUAUUGAGUACGAGCAUAUUUGGUAGGACCCGAGAGGCUUUGAACUAAGCGUGAUGAGAUUGAAGUCAGACGAAAGUCUGAUGGAGGAUCGAGUUGAUACUGACGUGCAAAUCGUUCAUUUCAAUCACGUUUAGGGGCGAAAGACUAAUCGAAAAGCCUAUUAGCUGGUUAUUUUCGAAAGAUCUCUCAGGAUCGCUGGAGUUGAGUUUAAUAUAAUUUUAUCAGGUAGAGAUAAUGAUUAGAGGAUUUAGGGAAAUAAAUUUCCUUAACCUAUUCUCAAACUUCCAAUAUGUAAAAAGGGUGAAAUAUCUGAAAAGUAUUUCACUCUGUGUAAAUAAAAUAACUCCAAGUGGGCCAUUUUUGGUAAGCAGAACUGGCGAUGAGGGAUGCUCCUAACGCUUGGAUAAGGUGCCUAAAUAUUCGCUCAUGAGAUCCCAUAAAAGGUGUUGGUUCAUAAUGACAGUAGGACGGUGGUCAUGGAAGUCGAAAUCCGCUAAGGAGUGUGUAACAACUCACCUACCGAAUGAACUAGCCCUGAAAAUGGAUGGCGCUAAAGCGAAUUACCGAUACCAGGCCAUAAAAAGGUAGAAAUUAUAAAUUUUAAUUUAGCUCAGAUCUUUUUAUGAGUAGAAAAUCGUGGGGUUUGUGUUGAAGCGAAAUACGUGAGUUUUCGUGGAACAUCUCCCUAGUGCAGAUCUUGGUGGAAGUAGCAACUAUUCAAAUGAGAACUUUGAAGACUGAAGUGGAGAAGGGUUUCUUGUCAACUAUGUUUGAACAAGAGUUAGCCGCUCCUAAGGGAUAGCUGAAAAGUGUUUAAAAGAAGUAAGAUAUUAUAUGGAAAUAUAUAAUUAGAUCUUCGUCUCAAAAGGGAAACAGGUUAAUAUUCCUGUGCCAAAUAGAAGUAAGGGUGUGAAUAAAGAAAGAUGGUAACAUACAUAUAAAUGAACUCCUUGACAUAGGUUUUACGCUCGGGGUGCGUUAUCUUUGCACUUUAAUUUUAUAGCAAACCUUGGAAUCAAUUUAUUUGGAGAAGAGGUUCGUUGAACUCAAUUCAAAAAAUUUAUAGAAGGGAUUUUCGGAUCCUUUUUUUUUUUUUUUUUGUUUUGUAGCAAUAGUAAUUCAUUUCUUUUGAAUUAUCCAUAGUGGUAAAAACUAUCCAUGAAACAAGGAGGGAACAGCAGCAAUUAUAUAAUUUUUGGGGUUCUUUAAUUUUUUUUUUUGAAUUACCUUCUUAUUUGCAAUACUCUUAAUACUUGUAAUGAGCGUACCAAUAACCGCAUCAGGUCUCCAAGGUUAGUAGCCUCUGGUUAAAUAGAAAAAAGUAGGUAAGGGAAGUCGGCAAAAUAGAUCCGUAACUUCGGGAAAAGGAUUGGCUCUGAGGACAUUAGAAAAGAGAAGAAAAAAAGAGGGUUGAAAAUAAAAUUGCAGAUUUAUUUGCUUUUCUUUUCGAUUUGCUUGUAAAUUUGCUUUUUCUUUUUCUUCUUUGUUUUUAUUCUGUCCCUCUUUUCGCCUUCAUUUUAUUGUAAUUUUAGUUACUUUAAUUUUUUGAUAUAUAUAAUGUUAACUCAGAACUGAAACGGACAAGGGGAAUCCGACUGUUUAAUUAAAACAUAGCAUUGUGAAAAGCCAUAACUGGUAUUAACACAAUGUGAUUUCUGCCCAGUGCUUUGAAUGUCAAGUUGAUGAAAUUCAAUUAAGCGCAGGUAAACGGCGGGAGUAACUAUGACUCUCUUAAGGUAGCCAAAUGCCUCGUCAUCUAAUUAGUGACGCGCAUGAAUGGAUUAACGAG